Molecule: small nuclear RNA, 124 nt
Filed under: Zalophus californianus (California sea lion)
Lineage: Eukaryota; Metazoa; Chordata; Mammalia; Carnivora; Otariidae
Also listed under: 1 other name
Description: U4 spliceosomal RNA (ENSZCAG00015002878.1)
Rfam family: U4 spliceosomal RNA
About the family: U4 small nuclear RNA (U4 snRNA) is a component of the major U2-dependent spliceosome. The structure of U4 snRNA from yeast and human has been reported.
Source: RNAcentral
GCUUUUGUGCAGAGGCAGUAUCAUAGCCAGUGACGUUUAGCCAAGGCACAAUUAUUGCUGAUUAAAAUCACUCCCUGAAAGCCAAACAAUUAGGGUUCUUUUUAAUUUGUCACUAUUAUAAUAG